CCUACGCGCGGCAGCAGUGGGGAAUAUUGCACAAUGGGCGCAAGCCUGAUGCAGCCAUGCCGCGUGUGUGAAGAAGGCCUUCGGGUUGUAAAGCACUUUCAGCGGGGAGGAAGGCGUUAAGGUUAAUAACCUUGGCGAUUGACGUUACCCGCAGAAGAAGCACCGGCUAACUCCGUGCCAGCAGCCGCGGUAAUACGGAGGGGUGCAAGCGUUAAUCGGAAUUACUGGGCGUAAAGCGCACGCAGGUGGUCUGUCAAGUCGGAUGUGAAAUCCCCGGGCUCAACCUGGGAACUGCAUUCGAAACUGGCAGGCUAGAGUCUUGUAGAGGGGGGUAGAAUUCCAGGUGUAGCGGUGAAAUGCGUAGAGAUCUGGAGGAAUACCGGUGGCGAAGGCGGCCCCCUGGACAAAGACUGACGCUCAGGUGCGAAAGCGUGGGGAGCAAACAGGAUUAGAUACCCCUGUAGUC
Molecule: ribosomal RNA, 466 nt
Filed under: uncultured Klebsiella sp.
Lineage: Bacteria; Pseudomonadati; Pseudomonadota; Gammaproteobacteria; Enterobacterales; Enterobacteriaceae
Description: bacterial SSU rRNA
Rfam family: Bacterial small subunit ribosomal RNA
Source: RNAcentral